AGCAGCCGCGGUAAUUCCAGCUCCAAUAGCGUAUAUUAAAGUUGUUGCAGUUAAAAAGCUCGUAGUUGAAUUUCGGGAUCAGUAGGUCGGUCGUGCCACUGGUAUGAACUGGUUUUACUGAUUCCUCCCUCUUGAAGAACUGUAAUGCCAUUAAUUUGGUGUUGCAGGGAAUCAGGACUGUUACUUUGAAAAAAUUAGAGUGUUUAAAGCAGGCUUUAGCUUGAAUACAUUAGCAUGGAAUAAUGAAAUAGGACGUUUGAUCCUAUUUUGUUGGUUUCUAGGAUUGACGUAAUGAUUAAUAGGGAUAGUUGGUGGCAUUAGUAUUCAAUUGUCAGAGGUGAAAUUCUUGGAUUUAUUGAAGACUAACUACUGCGAAAGCAUUUGCCAAGGAUGUUUUCAUUAAUCAAGAACGAAAGUUAGGGGAUCGAAGACGAUCAGAUACCGUCGUAGUCUUAACCAUAAACUAUGCC
RNAcentral lists this ribosomal RNA (470 nucleotides) under uncultured Glomus. RNAcentral's name for it is "SSU rRNA". It matches the Rfam family "Eukaryotic small subunit ribosomal RNA", at positions 569 to 1043 of the family's 1831-position model. Lineage: Eukaryota; Fungi; Glomeromycota; Glomeromycetes; Glomerales; Glomeraceae. The record is from RNAcentral.